AGGGUUCGAUUCUGGCUCAGGAUGAACGCUAGCUACAGGCUUAACACAUGCAAGUCGAGGGGCAUCAUGGAGUUUGCUUGCAAACUCUGAUGGCGACCGGCGCACGGGUGAGUAACGCGUAUCCAACCUUCCCUAUAGUAGAGGAUAGCCCGGCGAAAGUCGGAUUAAUACUCUAUGUUUUCCGUUGCAGACAUCUAAGAUGGAACAAAGGCUUGCCGCUAUAGGAUGGGGAUGCGUCUGAUUAGGUAGUCGGCGGGGUAACGGCCCACCGAGCCAUCGAUCAGUAGGGUUCUGAGAGGAAGGUCCCCCACAUUGGAACUGAGACACGGUCCAAACUCCUACGGGAGGCAGCAGUGAGGAAUAUUGGUCAAUGGGCGAGAGCCUGAACCAGCCAAGUAGCGUGCAGGACGACGGCCCUAUGGGUUGUAAACUGCUUUUAUGCGGGGAUAAAGUUCACUACGUGUAGUGUUUUGUAGGUACCGCAUGAAUAAGGACCGGCUAAUUCCGUGCCAGCCGCAGC
RNAcentral lists this ribosomal RNA (520 nucleotides) under uncultured bacterium. Its description in RNAcentral is "bacterial SSU rRNA". It matches the Rfam family "Bacterial small subunit ribosomal RNA", at positions 8 to 518 of the family's 1533-position model. The record is from RNAcentral.